CCUAAUACAUGCAAGUCGAACGCAUUCUCGUUUUAGAUUGACGGUGCUUGCACCAGAUUGAAAAAACAUUUGAAUGAGUGGCGGACGGGUGAGUAACACGUGGGUAACCUGCCCAAAAGUGGGGGAUAACAUUUGGAAACAAAUGCUAAUACCGCAUAAAAGUUAGAACCGCAUGGUUCUAAUUUGAAAGAUGGUUUCGGCUAUCACUUUUGGAUGGACCCGCGGCGUAUUAGUUAGUUGGUGAGGUAAUGGCUCACCAAGACAAUGAUACGUAGCCGAACUGAGAGGUUGAUCGGCCACAAUGGGACUGAGACACGGCCCAUACUCCUACGGGAGGCAGCAGUAGGGAAUCUUCCACAAUGGGCGCAAGCCUGAUGGAGCAAUACCGCGUGAGUGAAGAAGGGUUUCGGCUCGUAAAACUCUGUUGUUGGAGAAGAACGUAUGUGAUAGUAACUGAUCAUGUAGUGACGGUAUCCAACCAGAAAGCCACGGCUAACUACGUGCCAGCAGCCGCGGUAAUACGUAGGUGGCAAGCGUUAUCCGGAUUUAUUGGGCGUAAAGCGAGCGCAGGCGGUUUUUUAAGUCUGAUGUGAAAGCCCUUGGCUCAACCAAGGAAGUGCAUCGGAAACUGGAGAACUUGAGUGCAGAAGAGGACAGUGGAACUCCAUGUGUAGCGGUGAAAUGCGUAGAUAUAUGGAAGAACACCAGUGGCGAAGGCGGCUGUCUGGUCUGUAACUGACGCUGAGGCUCGAAAGCAUGGGUAGCGAACAGGAUUAGAUACCCUGGUAGUCCCAUGCCGUAAACGAUGAAUGCUAGGUGUUGGAGGGUUUCCGCCCUUCAGUGCCGCAGCUAACGCAUUAAGCAUUCCGCCUGGGGAGUACGACCGCAAGGUUGAAACUCAAGGAAUUGACGGGGGCCGGCACAAGCGGUGGAGCAUGUGGUUUAAUUC
This 949-nucleotide ribosomal RNA is filed under the name Paucilactobacillus oligofermentans. RNAcentral's name for it is "bacterial SSU rRNA". It matches the Rfam family "Bacterial small subunit ribosomal RNA", at positions 47 to 952 of the family's 1533-position model. The record is from RNAcentral. Lineage: Bacteria; Bacillati; Bacillota; Bacilli; Lactobacillales; Lactobacillaceae.